This 253-nucleotide ribosomal RNA is filed under the name uncultured bacterium. RNAcentral describes it as "partial 16S ribosomal RNA". It matches the Rfam family "Bacterial small subunit ribosomal RNA", at positions 524 to 776 of the family's 1533-position model. The record is from RNAcentral.
UACGUAGGGUGCGAGCGUUGUCCGGAAUUAUUGGGCGUAAAGGGCGCGUAGGCGGUGCGGUAAGUCACCUGUGAAACCUCUAGGCUCAACCUAGAGCCUGCAGGCGAAACUGCCGUGCUUGAGGGUGGGAGAGGUGCGUGGAAUUCCCGGUGUAGCGGUGAAAUGCGUAGAUAUCGGGAAGAACACCCGUGGCGAAGGCGGCUCUCUGGGACGGUACUGACGCUGAGACGCGAAAGCGUGGGGAGCGAACAGG